Molecule: ribosomal RNA, 253 nt
Filed under: uncultured bacterium
Lineage: Bacteria
Description: partial 16S ribosomal RNA
Rfam family: Bacterial small subunit ribosomal RNA
Source: RNAcentral
UACGAAGGGGGCUAGCGUUGCUCGGAAUUACUGGGCGUAAAGGGCGCGUAGGCGGACAGUUUAGUCAGAGGUGAAAGCCCAGGGCUCAACCUUGGAAUUGCCUUUGAUACUGGUGAUCUUGAGUCCGGGAGAGGUGAGUGGAACUGCGAGUGUAGAGGUGAAAUUCGUAGAUAUUCGCAAGAACACCAGUGGCGAAGGCGGCUCACUGGCCCGGUACUGACGCUGAGGUGCGAAAGCGUGGGGAGCAAACAGG